GGAUCGGGGUGCGUAACAUUAGCUUGUUGGUGAGGUAAAGGCUCACAAAGGCGAUGAUGUUUAGCGGGGUUGAGAGACUGAUCCGCCACACUGGGACUGAGAUACGGCCCAGACUCCUACGGGAGGCAGCAGUAGGGAAUUUUCCACAAUGGAAGAAAGUCUGAUGGAGCGACACAGCGUGCAGGAUGACGGCCUUCGGGUUGUAAACUGCUGUUAUAAGGGAAGAAAAAAUCAUAGAGG
RNAcentral lists this ribosomal RNA (240 nucleotides) under Mycoplasmopsis pullorum. RNAcentral describes it as "Mycoplasma pullorum partial 16S ribosomal RNA". It matches the Rfam family "Bacterial small subunit ribosomal RNA", at positions 223 to 462 of the family's 1533-position model. The record is from RNAcentral. Lineage: Bacteria; Bacillati; Mycoplasmatota; Mycoplasmoidales; Metamycoplasmataceae.